UUUGAAAUGUGGGGAUUAGGUACGUUAAAUGAAAUUUCUUUAACGUUUAAAAGGGAAUCCGGUGAAAACCCGGAGCGGUCCCGCCACUGUAUUAGAAGAGCUAUAACCUUUGAUCACUGAUUCUAUCUGGAAUUGGGAAGAUCGUUAUAGCGAUGACACUAAAGCCAGGAGACCUGCCUAUUCUAACAGCACUGA
This 195-nucleotide non-coding RNA is filed under the name Alkalihalobacillus alcalophilus. The record is from RNAcentral. Lineage: Bacteria; Bacillati; Bacillota; Bacilli; Caryophanales; Bacillaceae.